Molecule: ribosomal RNA, 253 nt
Filed under: uncultured bacterium
Lineage: Bacteria
Description: partial 16S ribosomal RNA
Rfam family: Bacterial small subunit ribosomal RNA
Source: RNAcentral
UACGUAGGGGCCGAGCGUUGUCCGGAGUUAUUGUGCGUAAAGCGCGCGCAGGCGGCCUCGCGCGCCCGACGUGAAAGCCCCCGGCUUAACCGGGGAGGGUCGUUGGGGACGGCGGGGCUUGUGGGCGGGAGAGGGUGGUGGAAUUCCCGGUGUAGUGGUGAAAUGCGUAGAGAUCGGGAGGAACACCCGUGGCGAAGGCGGCCACCUGGGCCGACCCUGACGCUGAGGCGCGAAGGCGUGGGGAGCGAACGGG